AUGUUUUUAAGGAUAUUUGUUUACACAAAAGGAAUUCUGAAGAUCCAAUUGAAAAUGCACUGCUGUGUCUGUUUUCCUUCUGAUUGUUGUGGACUGCAGAUAGCCAAAUGGAAUGAAGGAGAGAGAGAGAGAGAAACAGUGGAAAAGGAAGAGGUGUGUCGAGGGUCUGAGCAGCGAUGGGAGGCAGGUAGAGGAUAUGAAGCUGUUAAAAAAAAGAUUCAGUGGAUGAAUGAUGAAGGAGACCUGUUGUUGAACACACAUUUAUCCUCAGGCAUAAAAGAAGAGCACCAAAAGAGUGAGAACAAAACCUAUUACCAUCUCUACUGGAGGUGGAAGGAAUAUGGAAUCGUGCUGAAAUACCUCAGGAGGAUAAGGCAGCCUGAGGGAAGGAGAAGUCUGAUGGAGACAGAGGGAUGAAAGGAUGAGUGAAAUCCCGUUGCGGAGGCAGGUCGACAACUGACCAAGGCGGAGCUGGUGGGACAAGGGAGCCCAGUGGAGAAAGCGAGAAAGGAACCAAGGCAGAGCUGACACGUUGGAGGUCCAUGAUGGAGUCUGGGACUCAGAGGCUUAUGGUUACACCAAAAAAAUAACUACUGUCUCGGUCUGAUCUUCUGUUGCACGAUUGUGCUGGAUAUAAAGCACACAACACAGGGAAGUACAAAACAGUCUUUAAAUAAUAAUAAAUCCAGAGGGAACAAACUCAGUAGAUCGUAGGAGUAAAUGUAGCACAAACAUAAAUGACAUUAGAAUAAGAAUUAAGGAAACACAUAUUUUAAAUAUACAGGGAGUGUAAUCACGGAGACAGAAACAGGUGUGGGCUAAUCAGAAACCAUAGAAACAAACUAGAGGGAAAAAAUGAGAACCUAGGAAAACAAGACCAUGAACCAGACAGAAAUCAAAUAUUUAUUUAUUCAUUCAUUCAUUCUACAAAGGAACUUUGUGUACACAGGUGUGUUAGGACAAUCAUCCAAAAACUCAAAUAAGAGUCCUCUAUAUAAAAUUUCUAAUUAGAGAACAUGGAAGUUGAAAGAAAAUAUUCAGUGGUUGAAAACUGCUAAAGCAAGUUUUAAUGCAUAAUGUAAACGCAAAUCUGAAACAAUAAAUAAAUGAAUAAAUAAAUAAAAAUGAAAAAGAAGGCACAAAUUAUGGACCGGCUCCAGGAAAGAGUGAGACAGUGAAAUAUAUUGUGUGUAAUAUUGUACAUGAUCUAAAAUGUCAAUAAUGUAAAUAUGUCUGUUAAAAUACGUUUUAAAUAGACAUAGAAAACAGAAAAUGUGCAUGAUUUAGUAUCUUAGUUGAAGUUACUCUUGGCAGCUCUGAUUCCUGAAUGACGCACAGACACGGCAAUGUGGCUAUUUGAUUUGUGUUGAUUUCAUUCAUAGAGUUUACACUCAUUCACUUAACAUACUCAUUAUAGCAUGGUGAUUUUAGAAGUUUAUGGAUAAUAAUGUGCUAUCUUCUGGCUCACCUGUUACCCAGCAAACACAAGGAGUGACUGUGUCUGCAGAAUAUUUUUCCUAUUAUUCGGUAGAAUUCAUUAUUUGUUUUGAAGCCAUUAUCCAAUUCAUAAUUUGUUUUGAAGCCAUUAUCCAUGCCUUUCUGAAUAAGGUAUUCGUCUUCUGGCACAUCCUUAAUUAUGAGCUCAAAACGCUUUUACCAGUGGUCUCAAUUUCAGUUCCUGCAGACAUUAGCUCCAACAAGCUCCAAGAAAGAAGUUUCUAGUAAUCCUGAAGGGGCUUGAUGAGCUUGUUCAGUUGUAUUUGAUUAGGGUUGGAGCUAAACUCUGCAAACUGUGGCCCUCCAGGAAGUUUGAGACCACUGACUUUUACCAUAGUGCAUGGUUUGUAAAGUAAUUCAUUCUGGCAUUUCAGUGUCAUAACCAGCUCCAUAUGUAUGGAUUUUCUGACAUAGUAAACUUGCUGGGUAGCUCAACUGGUAUAAUAUUGCUCUUGAGAUGCUUGGGUAAGUUCUGUGAGUCACAAUAAAAGAGUUCAAAGACUUUGAAGAUGCAAAAUAAAAUGUCAUGGUUUCAUCAGCAAACGCGUUUUAUCUCACUUUUGGUUUCGUUAACAUUAUUGGUUAGGUUUAGGCUAAGGUUUAGUGUAGCUGGUACAUAAACUUUGCCAGAUUCUCUGUACAAGAAUACCUCCAUAUUUACUUACUAAACACAUAUCCCUUCAUCACUGGCUCAUGGAAUAUUUCAUGGUCUAAGAAUCAUGAGAAAGUGAAUGUGAAAUCAUGCACCUGUGUGGUGGCUGCAUAUAUCCCUUCAAACUUUGGAGGCCUAUUUGGAGUUUUCAGCUGUUAUAGCACUAAUCCUGGUAAUUUCAGGACCAGUGUUCCUGGACUGUCAGGCACAUCAGGCCACAUCAGAGACACACUAAAAUAGUGAGGAGUCUGUGGGCCCUUCGCCGAUAAUUAGAAUGCCAUGUGUUCAUUCCUACAAGCUAAAACAGCACUUGUUAAAUGAAAAGCUGUCACACUUUAAUUGUCUCCACUGAGACACGUUGAGGGGGAAGGGGGGAGAGAAGUAAUCCUGCAAACACAGGGCAAAUCAUGAGGAAGCAAGGUCUGAAAAAUUACUACACCCUUAGAGAUGUAUCAGCAUAUCAUUUCCUAGUUGGAAGACAUCAUGGCAGUUUGGAUUAAAUGGAGUGCUGAUUGUUUGUAUGACAUUCUUCUCAUGUCACUCUGAAAUGCUAUUGGAGGAAAAAAAAGAAGAAGAAGAAAAAAUAAUCUUUUUCUAUGUAUUUAUCCAAGUUGCAUUUAGUUACCUAAUUUUCACUGCUUGCACUGCUUUAAUAAGGACUUGAGGUCUGUAUGGUUAUCAAGUAAUGUAUUGAAGAUACACACUUGAUUUGUGACCUUGGAAGAACACCAUUAUGUUUUAUGUUAAAAACAACCCAUAAACAACUCUCACAAACAAAUGAUUAUAUGAAUUACUGUUUGGAAUUGUUUGAACUAUAAACACUGAAAAAAAAAUGUCCCUUUACAUGUGCUCCUACUUUUUAGUCUGGUCAGCACUUUACAAUAAGCUUGUUAAAAUCAGUUAACAAUAUGGUAACACUUCGGCAACACACAGUCUGUUUGAGCGAUCAGUAUCUAGCACAGCCUUUAUUUAUUUAAGAUUUUUUUUUUUUUUCCCAAUCCUUAAAUCUAUCACUCACAGGUUGUCCUGUUUCAUUUGUACAAUGUUCUGGAUUCAGCACUAGUUUAAUUGGGAUAUCCAAUUCAUACUUUUUAAAAAUGUAUAUUUGUUUCACUAUUUUUAUAUUCAACCCCAUAAAUGCAUGAAUCUAACUAUUCUAUUAAUCUACAUUAAUCUCUUUGAUAAUACUUUAUGUUGUAAAGAUAACAUUGUGGGUUGGACUAACAGAAACUGACGAAUCACUGAGACAAGCAUAUUAUGUACACCUUGACCAUGAAAACCAGCUUUUAGACAUUUAAUUGAAUGUGUGUGCAUUCCUUUCUCUUGAGGAAAACAUAUGUUGAGUUCAAGUCAGUUCUCAUCAGCUUUUGCAUGGUUCAGCGUGUUAAGGGUGAUGUAUAUGAUGUAUAAAUUAGACAGACAGACAGACAGACAGACAGACAGACAGACAGACAGACAGACAGACAGACAGACAGACAGACAGACAGACAGACAGACAGACAGACAGACAGACAGACAGUUGUGGUGAAGUCGUGGCCUAAUGGUUAGAGAAUUUGAUUCCUAACCCUAAGGUUGUGGGUUCGAGUCUCGGGCUGUCAAUACCAUGACAGAGUUGCCCUUGAGCAACCGAACUUCUGUUUCCACUAAAGUAUUUUCUGUGAGAUUUUCUUCUACAGGGUUUUCCAGUUUGAUUGCUGAGGGUUCCUUCAAGCUGUUUUUAUUCAGUAGCACCUUAUUGUGGGAAGAUUGAGUACAAUAUUUUGGUUUUAUUACUUUGGCUGUAUGGCACCAGUUGAGAUGUUCUUCCAUAUUGUAUCAUCUUGAGUAAUUAGGACUGAAUUCGUAGGCAAAUAAACUUUUUUUUUUUUUUUUUUAGGUCAGCAGUCUGCUUAUAUGUGACCUAUUACUUUUUGCUAUUGUUCCCUAAAUUGUUUGUGUCAUCUCUAAAAAAAAGAACAUCCCAGAAUCUAUAACUCCAGCAGGAGGGAGAAUCAGAAGGCAGAUGGCCUUGAAAGAAAACAAUCAUAAUUGAGUCUUUAUUACCUCAGCAGUUGAGCUGCAUUUGUGGCUGGUGUAGUGUGCUCUGCUGUUUGAGUGCAGCCCAUACACAUUUCAAGUCAAGUAAAGAAGCUUACUCUCCCUUUUGGGAUCAAGGUGGGAGGCCUUUUUACCCCAGUUAAGCUACUGAUCCUCAAACGAUAGUGACAAAGACAAGAAAAGCGUUGUGUGCUCGAGACUCUGGCUCCUGUGGGCUAUAUUAUAUUGUGAUGUGUCUAUCUGAGAACAGCAAACCUCAACAUUUUCCUAGAGAUCAUUUUACUAACUACUUGUUUCUUUCCAAGCUGCAGUGCCGAGUGAAGUCUGUCUAAGCCCUCUGUCCCCUCUCAUGCACACAGUUUGUAGUAAUCAUCGCUGAAGACGUGUGUUGCAUGGACAUACUACAGUACAACCUUAUCACAACCUCUGAAAUGUUUCCUGUCUGGACAUCUUAUCUACAUUGCUCAGGGAGGUAGGCUUCUAUUAUAAAUCUG
This is a long non-coding RNA of Cyprinus carpio carpio, 4680 nucleotides long. Lineage: Eukaryota; Metazoa; Chordata; Actinopteri; Cypriniformes; Cyprinidae. The record is from Ensembl.